UCCAGUUUUCAACCAAAAUUCAAUCAUAUCUGCUAGAAAGCAAAAAUAGAUGCUUGUCUCUCUUCAAAAUCACUUGAUUGGCAAAACCCUUCCACAAAUGUUGAUCACUGAAUGGAGAAUUGCGGCAAUUUUCAAUUUCUUACAAUAGUUGCUAAGGUUCUGGAAUAAAAAUAAAAUCAGCAUUAGAUUCAUUCAUUUGCAACUCUGAUUGCUUGUAUUUCAACGACUACAUACCUGCUUUAGCACCAGAAGAAGCACUUGAAGAAUCUCAGUAUAUUUCGUGUUACCAAAAACCAAGCUUCAGUAUUAUUUGACAGCAUCCGAUAAAAUCUGAUAAAUCUUUGUUAUUGUAGUUUGAAGGAAACCUAUAUACAUCAUAAAGAAACCUGUGCAGUGCUCAUCGCACUGGCACUGCCUAAUAGUAAACAAUCUAUCAAUUGUUUAAAAACAUGUUCUCUCAAGUACAGCAUUUUUUUUUUUAUUUUUUAUAUUCCAAUUAAACCAAUGUCAAUCUAUGGUUUUACAGCUUAUUGC
This 534-nucleotide long non-coding RNA is filed under the name Olea europaea (common olive). Its description in RNAcentral is "long non-coding RNA (OEUR_LNC005350)". The record is from RNAcentral. Lineage: Eukaryota; Viridiplantae; Streptophyta; Magnoliopsida; Lamiales; Oleaceae.